Esox lucius (northern pike) is the source of this 561-nucleotide long non-coding RNA. RefSeq lists it as uncharacterized. The transcript has 4 exons. The record is from RefSeq and is a predicted model, not a curated record. Lineage: Eukaryota; Metazoa; Chordata; Actinopteri; Esociformes; Esocidae.
UCAUAAGAACACACAAACCUCUCCACCACGAUAAAGUGAUGGCUCCCAGAGAGGUCUGAACAAAUUAAUAUAUGUUUAAUUGUCGUUUCAGGACACACUCUGUCCAGCAAGGACCUCAGCCAGUUUGCAACAAUUGCUAAGGAGAAAAUCCCUGAGCUUCUUCGGUAUGCAUUUGUGAAGUCCGGGCACCGGACCGGCGUACUUGUCAAUUAAAAAAUCCAGGAAGUCAGCUUAGCAGAAAGACAUGACAACAAAUUAGUCAUACAUGUCAAAGAACACAAAACUGCAUCGUCCUAUGGGAGGGCGAAGAUAUCAUUGACAAAUGAAGAAUACAGUUGGUUUGGGGACUUUGCAUAUCUCUGUCCAAGACUCCCAGGACACCAGGCCGGAUUGGAGCCACUCUUCUUCAUGAGCUGUGGAGGACUGUUUAGCAAACUAUCCAAUUAUUUCAAUAGCGAGAAAACGCUAAAUGAACAGGACCGUCAAAAAGUACUGACCGAAACAUUUGCAGAUCCAGAUCAGAGCUCUGGAUGAUCUUAAUUAGACCUGGACUCACCCGGU